Molecule: long non-coding RNA, 1606 nt
Organism: Triticum dicoccoides
Lineage: Eukaryota; Viridiplantae; Streptophyta; Magnoliopsida; Poales; Poaceae
Exons: 4
Source: RefSeq, a predicted model, not a curated record
GAUGAGGCGAUGUAGAACAAAUACAUCAGGGUGGGACUCGCCCCAUCACAGGAUCGAAUCCCUGGCGGACGGUGGUGGGCAUGCUAGCGCCUUCCCCGCUCGUGGGUGAGUUUUUCUCAUCUUAGCUCAUGCCACAUGAAGCUUACUUUGCCCCUGCAUGACUUCAUGUGAGGGCUACUUUUCUUCUACAACUUGCAAUUCCACCAUCUCUAACCCAACAACAUUCUACAUGUUGCUUGCUUCAUCACACUAUGCGAGUGCUUCCUAGGUACCGAUCCACUUUCGGGACUUUGGAAGUGUCACAUCUCAGUGAAGCUCCGAGGAUAAGGUGAACACAUGAUAGUUUGUAGGGGCGUUAUUAUUUGACCCUCUUCACCCUACAACUAUUUUGAUAUGAAUACUUGGGGAGAGGAGUGGUUCUAUCUCCUGAUCGAACGUGCGCCUAGUGGUCAAGAAGAUCUUCCCAGUGUGUUGUUGUGCCACCACUGACGACUGUCAGUUGGAAUGCCAAGCCUUCCAAGGAGGAGAAGCGUGAUCUCGACCAAUUGCUUCAACGAAUCGAAUAGUUCAAGGAUGUGAGUCUCAGUGGAGUGGAUCUCAUCAAGACCUGGUUGAGAUGGCGCAUCUUGCCACUUCAUGCAAGGGCACAUCCUAUCAAUUCAGGCACUUUCGACUGCACCGGGAUCACUGCUAGGAAUAUAUCGAAUGAAUACUUCAUGAAGGUAUUGUAAACCUUGACUCUGGAAGAUGAAGAAGUGAGCUAGGUGUCGUGUAGUUCCUUGCAGUGUUGACCAUCCCCGGCCUCGUGUCAAUACCACUACUCCCCGAAACGACCAAGUUGACGAGAAGUUUUUGAAAGAGGAGGUGGCAGCUACUAAGGGUUCUAACACCUGAAAGAAGGAAACCGUUAGGGUACCGAGUCGAUCCCAAGCAAUCAUGGCAUGGGAGGAUGAUAUUCCGCUAACCCGUCGCUCAAGAAUAUCGCUCUCGAAGUGGAAGCAUCAUGAUGAAGCCUUGGUGCUGGGGCUAUGGAGGCAGUGCCAAGGCUAGUUUUGCAAGUGGUGGAACCCAAGAACUUAUGCAUAGCGCCUAGACAUUCGAUGACACGAGCCAUGACUUUGACUGCCUGGUCGUUUGCUAUCGCGACGAGUGCCCCAAGUUGUGUAUGGCUUUUGUCCAGUUAUGGUCAUUUCACAAACAACCAAGGAGUGGCCGAAGGAAGGUCACCGUCAUCGUCAGGCUAACACUGCUAGGUUCCAAGGAAUCUGACCAGCUUGAGAAGGUGGUGAAGCUGACUGCAGUGCAGCUGACUAGUCAGGCCCCUAGCAUCUUAGGGAUUCCUGAAGUGUCGAGGGUCCAUAUGCCUAUCACGGCAGUCCUGCAGACAACAGAGAGUUUGCCUUUGCCUGUCCCACCAUUGGAGCAGAAACACAAUUAGGAGUUCAAAUGUUGAGGAAUGUGUACUAUUAAAGCAAGGCGCAACUGCUCUUCAAGAAGGGGUGUUGCCUGUCAUGAUAACGGUAGAGGCAAAAGAAUGGUCCAAAGACCAAUGCUGAGAACCAAGAUCAUGGACAUAAUGACAUGGAACAUGAGUUUCACUCGGGAA